UUUAUUAUUGUCUUCCAAACUUAGGUCAUUUAUAUAACUAUUAGUAUUUAUAUUUUGUGAUAUUUCAGAUAGCCAAACCAAAUGGAUAUGUCUAUAAAAAUUCCAUUUUAUUCGAUCUAGGACACAUCGCCAUCGCCACUUCGCCAUCGCUACUUCAUCGUAAAACCAUUUCGCCAUUGCCAUUUCGACGUAAAGCCAAUACGUUGAAAAAAAAUUCACUUAUAGAAAACAUGCACUCGUAAAUAUUUAAUAAUAAAUUUAAAAGCUAUAUUUUGAUCAUUAUAAUAGUACCGUGCUUACAUAACAUUUGUCAAUAUUUAAUAAAAAUAAUUAAUUUAAAAUAUUUCUUUGGCUAGUAUAACGUAAACUUACGUAAAAAGAGGAGGUGCAAUCUUAAAUGUUCCGUCACAAAACCAUAUUUUUGAUCGUUCUAAAAUUUCUAAGCUGCUUAAUCUACCAAAAAUUAAAAUUCUAUCCUAAAGACCUGACCCAGUGUCAUCGAGUAAAAAUGUCUCAUUCACACCUUCAGAUGGUGAAUAAAUUGUAUUAGCUUCUGGAAUUAUCAAAAAAUUAAAUCUUUAGGCGCAGAGGGAGCUUUAACAAUUUGUUGACGUAAACGCCUGAUUUUUUUUCUUUAAUGCACAGGCGGAUGUGAGUGUACCCUAAAAAACAUUAUAAUAUUUUUUUUUAGAUAUUACCUUUUAGCAUAACUGUCGCAAAAAUAUUAAAACGCUUACUUUAGCUGCUUGUGAAAGCCCAGUCGUACAUUCGUUCAAUACUAUUGAUGUAGAUUCUAGCGUUUGUUGGGAUCAAAUUUUAAUUUUAGUCACAGCAACUUCUACAUCAACUGCUGCGGCAUCUGAGUCAUGAGAGUGCUCAUUGAUUCGUUUUAACACAGUCAAGUUCAUCUGCAUCUAUAUUUGUGCGAAUUCUAAAUUUACAUAUGUUUCUUUUUCUACAUCGCCAAAAUUGUUUUUUCUUGUCUGCACUAAACGCAUCGAAUAUGAACAUAAAACCAUUAUCUACGAAAACAUCACACCAACGAAUAGUUUCUACAACUGCCAUUUUGGUACUGACAGCAAACAUAAAUUCUAUAAUGCACAGCCUAAUAUGAGCUAAGAAAUACCUGUUAUUAAAUUAUUAUCUUAUGUACCUAUGUUCGUUUAUCGCUAAACGGUCUAAACACUUAUCGUCACCGGAUACCUAUGGGAACAUAAUAAACUAUUUUUACCAUAGCCAUAGCAAAUUAAUGUUAUGUAGGUACUUAUAAUGAUCAAAAUAUAUCUUUUAAAUCAAUUAUUAUUAUUACAGUAAAUAUAGUAUUUUUUAAUGGCGAUGGCGAAAUGGUUUUACGGCGUAACGCCGACGGUCAUUUGUCCGUGUUCGCAUUUUAUUGCACUAUCUUUACAUGUACAUGAAAAACAAUGAAUACAAGUUUUGCAUUCAUCACAAACAAUUUGGCAAUCACAGGAGUUUUUCAAUUUAUUUACAGUGUGCAUAUCAUCAUGACCACUUGCCAUCACAUUCCAACAAUCUUCUCCAUUUUUAAGCACAUUAUUAGUUGACAUUUCUAGACUAUUCUUGUGCCUUUUGCUUAAUUCUUUAAUUUUAGAAAGUUCGGUGCAUUCUUUCGAUAUACAUAUUAGUAUUUAUUCUUGCGUGAGGACGAUGACAGUAAGCCCAAGAUUCAAGACAUGUACCAUAGUUAUAAACAGAAUAAUUAGCAAAAUCAACAGUGUCAUCAUUAGCCGACAAUUGGUUUAUAGCUUCUUCAAAAAUGAUUUCAAAGGCUUUUGUAUUUUGUUCGUGAAGUAAAGUCCUCAAAAGUUUGCGCGAUCAACAUGCCAAGUGCAGUAUAAUCUAUGUUUUGGACGUUUCAUUUCAACAAUAUAUGUAUUGAAAAAAUUUCAGCCGUAUCGGACAUGAAUACAUCGGGCUGCAAUUAUCCUGUUAAUUAUUUUAUUUUAGAAUAAAAUUGUUAGUACUGCCUCAUCGAUACGAUUACAAAUCAAAAGUACAUGUAAAACCUUCUCUCAUAUCGUCAAGUACUAAGAGUGUUGUUAAAUUAAAGUGAUAGGAAUUCAUAACAUGAGUUUCAUCUAUACCAAUUACAUUAUGUCCAUAUUUUUCCAACAUAGACUGUCGAUGAUUAUUAAUUAUAAUUAUAAGAAAUCAUAUUUUUUUAAGUUAAAAAAUUGUUGAUCUAACUCAUCUUGUUGCUUAUAGUAUAUAAGGCUAAAUAUGUCAUCUUUUUUUAAAUGUUGAACCCAACUUUCAACACUUUUUGCAUCAUUUGCAUGUAGUAUAGCUUUAUUAUUUAGAUUAUAAGAUGUUUGAAUAUUAUUAUGUAAAUCUUUCUUUGUUAAGAGAUGUAUUCUUUCUAAUGAAUUAUUUGAAACAUCACAAAUUUUAUUUAAAAUAUGUUCAAAAGGUAUAUUCUGAGACAUCUUACUCGCUAUGUUAACUCAAACAUCCUUAUUUAAUGGUAAAUUACCUAAAUCAUUAUCGUGGCCUGUAUGAUAUGCGAUAAAUUUAACUGUACAUUUUUACUCAAUUUACAUAUUGUAAUAUCAAUACAAGAUGGGCAGUAUCCAUUAAUUUUAUUUGAAACUUGUGUUUUUAAAUGCCUCAGACCUGUACCUUUUGAAAUAUAAUUUCCAUUUCUAUGGCAUUCAUAGUAUAUAAAUGUUUUAUUACUAUGAUCAUUACUAAUAGAUCCACAAUUUUUUAUGUAACAUGAUUUGAUUUUAUGUUCAAUUUCAUUUUUCCAUAAAUUAAAAUUUUCAAUAUUUAUUUGAAAAUAUUGAAACUUUUAAACAAGGCAUUCUAUCAGAUACUUAAAAUCAGGUUUAUCUAUAUCAAUUGAAUGGGCAAUUAAUUUAUGUUCAUUGAGAUUUUUGAUGGGGCAAAAUGAUUUGUCAUAUUUGUUACAUGAAAACACAUAUACUGAAUACAUUUACUUAAUUUAAUUAAUUCUAAAAUUAAUACCCUGAACACCACAAAUCAUGAGCUUUUUUAUCUUAUGCAUUUUGACAUAAACUUUAUCUUAAAUUGUCCUGCUAAUCUAUUAAUGAUUGCAGGUAAUAGUUAUUCUUUGGAUUUUAUCUAGUCAAGUUUAUUAUUAUAUUAUC
This 3131-nucleotide long non-coding RNA is filed under the name Acyrthosiphon pisum (pea aphid). RNAcentral describes it as "uncharacterized LOC115034642". The record is from RNAcentral. Lineage: Eukaryota; Metazoa; Arthropoda; Insecta; Hemiptera; Aphididae.